AGAUCAUUUCCUGCUCUGAAACAGAAGUGCCGCGGAGCUCAGAACACCCAGCUGAGAGCCAGAGCCUCUUCUCACCCUGCAGGGGACAGCUGUCAGCAUGCCGCUGGCCCGUGUGCUGUGGGCAGUCGUGGUGUCCACCUGUCUUGGAUCCAGCAUGGCCCAGAAGGUCACCCAGACUCAACCAGAAAUGUCUGUGCACGAGGCAGAGACCGUGACCCUGGACUGCACGUUUGACACUAUUGUCAGUAAUUAUUAUUUGUUCUGGUACAAACAGCGUCCCAGUGGGGAGAUGGUUCUCCUUAUUCGCCAAGAAGCUAAUAAGCAAGAGAAUGCAACAAAUAAUCGCUUCUCUGUGAACUUCCAGAAGGCAGACAAAUCCUUCAGUCUCAGGAUCUCAGCCGCCCAGCUGGAGGAUGCUGCGAUGUAUUUGUGUGGUCUCAUGGAGGGCACAGUGACAGGAGCAACAGAGGGAGGUUUACAGAAACCUCAGACCUCAGCAUCUGUGCAGAGGUCGGGGUGGGAGGAGUGACUAGGGCACCAGGAACAUAGAAAAUCAUUGACUUCUCUUGGAAUAAAAGCUCCUUCUAUCUGAAUAUAAGAAACACAGAGAGAUGGAUAUCUGUAAGCUACAAUCCUUAAAAUAACAGUAAAAAUAAUAACAUAUGUAGUGUUUUCCAGUUUUACGAAGUAUCUUCAUACAUUGUGUCACAUGUAACCCUUCUCGCUUUGCAUGGUAUACGUGACAAAUAAGACUUCCUAAGCAUGUCCUCUGCCCAGCAAAUCUUUAUAAUUUGCCUGGGAGCUCAUGCUUCCAAAAUUCAUAAUGUUUUCCAUUUUGCUGGUUGGUGCUUGUUCUUUUAAUUGUCCAUCCAUGUCCAAAACUGAAUCUCUCAGAACAAGGUACCCAUUUUACAACACAGUGGAUGUGACUGUUGAAGGCGUGACCAAGGAAAGGAUCCACUGGUCCUACCAUGAACCAAAAAGUUGACCUAGACCCAUGGUACCUAGGUCAGAUGACCUAGAAAAAGGAUGGAAUGGCUUGUUAAAAGCUCAGUUAAGAAGCCAGCUCAACGGCAUCACCCUUAGUGGUUGGAAUGCCAUGUUCCCGGAAGUGAUAGUAUUCAUUAAACCAAUGGCUGAUACAUGGUGCUCUGGCUUCCUGGCUAAAUUAUGCAAAUUUAGAAAUGAAGAGCUAGAAGUAGACUAGACUCUUCUACUAUCACUCCCUGUAACUCAUUUCCAGAAUUUGUGUUGCCCUUUCCUACAGCCCUAGGCUCUGCUGGAUUAGAGUUCCUAGGACCCUGCAGAAGAAUGCUUCCACCAGAGGAUCCAGUAAGGGUUUCACUGAACCUGCAGCUACGACCACUGCCUACGCCAUUUCAAACUCCUUGUGCCAAUUGUCCAGCAGGCAAAGAAAGGAGGGGUAAUUGACUCUGAUUAUCAUGAAGCAUCGGGUUGUUAUUACACAAUGGGGGCAAAAAGGAAUGUGUCUGGAAUCUGUGUUUCACAUUGAGUAGUAUUUCAUGCCCAAUAAAAACAGCAAGUGGCAGUUGUGGCUUGAAAAGGACAAAGUAAACAAGAACUGAGACCCCUGAGCAAUGAAGGCCUGCGUCCCCCUAUCAGGCAAGCAAUCUAAGUCCAGUAAAGUGCUAUCCAAUGGCAAGGAAAUCUAGAGAAUGGGGGGCGGGGAGGGGGGGAAGAGUUUUAAUUACAGCCUUGGGACCAGUUAAAGAAGUGGGGCCUGAAGGUCAUGUAUUAAGUGUUUUAGAUGGAAUUCAGUCCACCACAACCUUGAAGACUCAGUGAUGUAGUGAAAAUAAUACAGGGCAAACACCCACCUGAGUAGUGCAAAGAAAGCAUUGUAAUCAAGAUCUGAUGUGCUUUCUGGUCAUGUCCAAAUGCCCAGCUCCGAUUCUAUCAAUAGGUAUGGUAGAUAAUUCUGUGGAUACUCACACCCAUCUCAAGCUGAUAACAUCCAACAUUACACAUGCACUGUGUAUUUUUUUACUUCUUACCCCAGAGCCUUCUCUGACUCCUCAGGAGCUCACUCAGGCUGUGGGUAAGCACAGCCUGAAAGAAGAAUUACCACCUCCGCUGGCAAGUCCCAACCAGUGGGAGGGAGGACCAAGGCAUGCCCUAGCUCUCUGCCUUCCAGCAGAGGGUCCCAGAGGGACUUCCUGUGUGCUUACCAGGAGAUCCGGGCAGA
Non-coding RNA from Herpailurus yagouaroundi (jaguarundi), 2206 nucleotides. The record is from the annotation of a RefSeq genome assembly. Lineage: Eukaryota; Metazoa; Chordata; Mammalia; Carnivora; Felidae.